Molecule: ribosomal RNA, 275 nt
Filed under: uncultured bacterium
Lineage: Bacteria
Description: partial 16S ribosomal RNA
Rfam family: Bacterial small subunit ribosomal RNA
Source: RNAcentral
CGUGAGUGAUGAAGGCCUUCGGGUUGUAAAGCUCUGUCUUUGGGGACGAUAAUGACGGUACCCAAGGAGGAAGCCACGGCUAACUACGUGCCAGCAGCCGCGGUAAUACGUAGGUGGCAAGCGUUGUCCGGAUUUACUGGGCGUAAAGGAUGCGUAGGUGGAUAUGCAAGUCAGAUGUGAAAUACCCGGGCUUAACUCGGGUGCUGCAUUUGAAACUAUAUAUCGAGAGUGCAGGAGAGGUAAGUGGAAUUCCUAGUGUAGCGGUGAAAUGCGUA